Molecule: long non-coding RNA, 1086 nt
Organism: Trachemys scripta elegans
Lineage: Eukaryota; Metazoa; Chordata; Testudines; Emydidae
Exons: 3
Source: RefSeq, a predicted model, not a curated record
CUUGCACUCUGCACGCAUGAGCUGAUAUGCUGCAUUCUGCCCACCUGGGAAAGUUUCAGCAACUUUCCAUCCGAAGGCAAUGCAGUAAGAAAGCAGUGUUUAGCUGGCGAGCAGAUUCCAAAUGAGAUCUGUCACACAGUACUUGCUCUCUGCUUUUUUUGGAAUAUUGUUCUUCUAACUUAUCUCCUUCAACAAUCAGGAACUCCAAAGCCCAACUGGCUCCACACACUUCCCUGUGACCUGUGCCUGACACACUUUUGAUUUCAGCCUUCAUUAAGUCAGGCAAUCCACAGUGAAGAUCUACAAACCUCACAAUGGACCUACCUUCAGUAUUUUGUCUCUCCAGAUGGAAGGAGCUAUCAAUCAUGCAGCGGUACCUGACUCUAGGUGCAGCGAAGGCCUCUUACGGGCAGCACAAGAGGUUACAGAGAUGGAUUUCACAGUUAAAGUGAGAGGACAGUUCUAAAGAGACAAUGGUAACACAGGAAGACUGCAAACCAUAUUCUAAGAAAUCUGGAUUCCAGGAACAGAGCAGCUAUGUGGCAAGACUCUAUCAAUAUUUAGCAGUGCUCAUAGCAUACAUUUAAUUGAAGCAGUCAAGAGGAUAUAAGGAGCAGAGGGCUGGGGAAGAAUUAUUCUUCUGGUCUUUAUAGAUGCAAAUUUAUAUUCAAAUUAACCCCCAGCUCAGUGGAGUCCCACUAAUCCUUUUACAAAAGCUUGACGUGUUAAUCCCAGCCCAGCACUAGUCUAGUGGCUGUUUAAACAGUUACCUAGAUUAGUUUUCAUAUUUACAAAUAAAUCCCGUCUGAAGUGCAGUUUAACUUGGGGCUGACUUCUUGCCACCUUUAAGAAGCAAACACUUCACCAGGGAUGAGAAAAGGGUAAAUCCUUACAGCCUUGCUAACAGGUUAAGAAUUGCUUAAUGAAAACCAGGAAGCAAACUCUGAGCUUGGCUCUUCAUCCAUGGAGCACAACAUGGCAUUUCACAACCUGGUUUAGUGCCACGCUGCUUACACAGUCCAUCCCCGUUAUACAGCUCUCCGGUGUAACACUCUUCUCUUGAUACUUAUUAUGCUGUCCCUUCAC